This 758-nucleotide ribosomal RNA is filed under the name uncultured bacterium. Its description in RNAcentral is "bacterial SSU rRNA". It matches the Rfam family "Bacterial small subunit ribosomal RNA", at positions 8 to 796 of the family's 1533-position model. The record is from RNAcentral.
AGAGUUUGAUCCUGGCUCAGAAUCAACGCUGGCGGCGUGCCUAACACAUGCAAGUCGAACGAGAAAGUGGUAGCAAUACCAUGAGUAAAGUGGCGCACGGGUGAGUAACACGUGACUAACCUACCCUGGAGUGGGGGAUAACUGAGGGAAACCUUAGCUAAUACCGCAUAAUACCUACGGGUCAAAGGAGCAAUUCGCUUCAGGAGGGGGUCGCGGCCGAUUAGUUAGUUGGCGGGGUAAUGGCCCACCAAGACAGUGAUCGGUAUCCGGCCUGAGAGGGCGCACGGACACACUGGAACUGAAACACGGUCCAGACUCCUACGGGAGGCAGCAGUGGGGAAUUUUGCGCAAUGGGGGAAACCCUGACGCAGCAACGCCGCGUGGAGGAUGAAGUCCUUCGGGACGUAAACUCCUUUCGAUCGGGACGAUAAUGACGGUACCGGAAGAAGAAGCCCCGGCUAACUUCGUGCCAGCAGCCGCGGUAAUACGAGGGGGGCGAGCGUUGUUCGGAAUUAUUGGGCGUAAAGGGUGCGUAGGCGGUUUGGUAAGUCUUAUGUGAAAUCUAUGGGCUCAACUCAUAGACUGCAUGAGAAACUGCCGGGCUUGAGUAUGGGAGAGGUGAGUGGAAUUCCUGGUGUAGCGGUGAAAUGCGUAGAUAUCAGGAGGAACACCUGUGGCGAAAGCGGCUCACUGGACCAUAACUGACGCUGAUGCACGAAAGCUAGGGGAGCAAACAGGAUUAGAUACCCUAGUAGUCC